GGGGCAGCAUAUAGAUUGCUUGCAAUUUAUGAUGGCGACCGGCGCACGGGUGAGUAACGCGUAUCCAACCUACCCAUUACUAGGGAAUAACCCAGCGAAAGUUGGCCUAAUGCCCUAUGUAGUCGUUUGAUCGCCUGAGAUUUCGACGAAAGAUUUAUCGGUAUUGGAUGGGGAUGCGUCUGAUUAGCUUGUUGGCGGGGUAAAGGCCCACCAAGGCAACGAUCAGUAGGGGUUCUGAGAGGAAGGUCCCCCACAUUGGAACUGAGACACGGUCCAAACUCCUACGGGAGGCAGCAGUGAGGAAUAUUGGUCAAUGGGCGAGAGCCUGAACCAGCCAAGUAGCGUGCAGGAUGACGGCCCUAUGGGUUGUAAACUGCUUUUAUAUGGGAAUAAAGUGAGGGACGUGUCCCUUAUUGCAUGUACCAUACGAAUAAGGACCGGCUAAUUCUGUGCCAGCAGCCGCGGUAAUACGGAAGGUCCAGGCGUUAUCCGGAUUUAUUGGGUUUAAAGGGAGCGUAGGCUGUUUGUUAAGCGUGUUGUGAAAUGUAGGAGCUCAACUUUUAGAUUGCAGCGCGAACUGGCAGACUUGAGUGCGCACAACGUAGGCGGAAUUCAUGGUGUAGCGGUGAAAUGCUUAGAU
Molecule: ribosomal RNA, 640 nt
Filed under: uncultured bacterium
Lineage: Bacteria
Description: bacterial SSU rRNA
Rfam family: Bacterial small subunit ribosomal RNA
Source: RNAcentral